Molecule: long non-coding RNA, 475 nt
Filed under: Mytilus galloprovincialis (Mediterranean mussel)
Lineage: Eukaryota; Metazoa; Mollusca; Bivalvia; Mytilida; Mytilidae
Source: RNAcentral
CGCAAUUUUACAUUAGGCUUUUUAUUUAAAUGAUUAGUAAAUGACAAUAGUGAAGUAAAAAGAUGUAGAGAGGGCAAAACAGCUCUUCUUGUUCCACUGAUUGAAAAGUUCCAACUGGAAACAGACUUUGUUAAACUGCUUCUGCCACGAAAAAUCAGUGCAAAAAAUGCUGUUGCAAUUCAUUCGCUUUAUAUCAAACCAAUGUAUCGUUCUGUCAUUAAUGAGUUUUAUUUACUUAAUUUACAUGGAGUUAAUUCACAGGGACAUAUAAGUGCAGAAGAUUUUAUGAGGUUAUUGCAUGAACUUAAAACCUGUCAUGUCCAUUAUUUAGUGCACAUUUUACCAGUUUGCAUUUGUUUGAGAUGCACUGAAUAUAGACAUGAAAGACUUAAUCAGCUUUCAGAAUGUACCUAUGCAACACCUUACCAUGGUCCUAUUACAAAUAGCCCUUUUCGUAAUUUACCAGUAGGACAAC